GCAAUUAUACAGCGAAACUGCGAAUGGCUCAUUAUAUAAGUUAUCGUUUAUUUGAUAGUACCUUACUACUUGGAUAACCGUGGUAAUUCUAGAGCUAAUACAUGCUAAAAAUCCCGACUUCGGAAGGGAUGUAUUUAUUAGAUUAAAAACCAAUGCCCUCUGGGCUCCUUGGUGAUUCAUAAUAACUUUUCGAAUCGCAUGGCCUUGCGCCGGCGAUGGUUCAUUCAAAUUUCUUCCCUAUCAACUUUCGAUGUUUGGGUAUUGGCCAAACAUGGUCGCAACGGGUAACGGAGGGUUAGGGCUCGACCCCGGAGAAGGAGCCUGAGAAACGGCUACUACAUCCAAGGAAGGCAGCAGGCGCGCAAAUUACCCAAUCCCGAUUCGGGGAGGUAGUGACAAUAAAUACUGAUACAGGGCUCUUUUGGGUCUUGUAAUUGGAAUGAGUACAAUUUAAAUCCCUUAACGAGGAACAAUUGGAGGGCAAGUCUGGUGCCAGCAGCCGCGGUAAUUCCAGCUCCAAUAGCGUAUAUUAAAGUUGUUGUGGUUAAAAAGCUCGUAGUUGAACCUUGGGCCUGGCUGGCCGGUCCGCCUCACCGCGUGUACUGGUCCGGCCGGGCCUUUCCCUCUGUGGAACCUCAUGCCCUUCACUGGGUGUGGCGGGGAAACAGGACUUUUACUUUGAAAAAAUUAGAGUGCUCCAGGCAGGCCUAUGCUCGAAUACAUUAGCAUGGAAUAAUGAAAUAGGACGUGUGGUUCUAUUUUGUUGGUUUCUAGGACCGCCGUAAUGAUUAAUAGGGACAGUCGGGGGCAUCAGUAUUCAAUUGUCAGAGGUGAAAUUCUUGGAUUUAUUGAAGACUAACUACUGCGAAAGCAUUUGCCAAGGAUGUUUUCAUUAAUCAGAAACGAAAGUUUAGGGAUCGAAGACGAUC
Molecule: ribosomal RNA, 929 nt
Filed under: Samsoniella pseudotortricidae
Lineage: Eukaryota; Fungi; Ascomycota; Sordariomycetes; Hypocreales; Cordycipitaceae
Description: SSU rRNA
Rfam family: Eukaryotic small subunit ribosomal RNA
Source: RNAcentral